Molecule: ribosomal RNA, 1287 nt
Filed under: metagenome
Description: bacterial SSU rRNA
Rfam family: Bacterial small subunit ribosomal RNA
Source: RNAcentral
UAGCUAGUUGGUGAGGUAAAGGCUUACCAAGGCGACGAUCUGUAGCGGGUCUGAGAGGAUGAUCCGCCACACUGGAACUGAGACGCGGUCCAGACUCCUACGGGAGGCAGCAGUGGGGAAUUUUGGACAAUGGGGGCAACCCUGAUCCAGCCAUGCCGCGUGAGUGAAGAAGGCCUUCGGGUUGUAAAGCUCUUUCGGCCGGGAAGAAAUCGCAUGGGCCAAUACCCUGUGUGGAUGACGGUACCGGAAUAAGAAGCACCGGCUAACUACGUGCCAGCAGCCGCGGUAAUACGUAGGGUGCGAGCGUUAAUCGGAAUUACUGGGCGUAAAGCGUGCGCAGGCGGUUUUGUAAGACAGGCGUGAAAUCCCCGGGCUUAACCUGGGAACUGCGUUUGUGACUGCAAGGCUAGAGUACGGCAGAGGGGGGUGGAAUUCCACGUGUAGCAGUGAAAUGCGUAGAGAUGUGGAGGAACACCAAUGGCGAAGGCAGCCCCCUGGGUCGAUACUGACGCUCAUGCACGAAAGCGUGGGUAGCAAACAGGAUUAGAUACCCUGGUAGUCCACGCCCUAAACUAUGUCAACUAGGUGUUGGGUGGGUAAAACCAUUUAGUACCGUAGCUAACGCGUGAAGUUGACCGCCUGGGGAGUACGGCCGCAAGGUUAAAACUCAAAGGAAUUGACGGGGACCCGCACAAGCGGUGGAUGAUGUGGAUUAAUUCGAUGCAACGCGAAAAACCUUACCUACCCUUGACAUGCCAGGAACUUGCCAGAGAUGGCUUGGUGCCCGAAAGGGAGCCUGGACACAGGUGCUGCAUGGCUGUCGUCAGCUCGUGUCGUGAGAUGUUGGGUUAAGUCCCGCAACGAGCGCAACCCUUGUCGUUAAUUGCCAUCAUUUAGUUGGGCACUUUAACGAGACUGCCGGUGACAAACCGGAGGAAGGUGGGGAUGACGUCAAGUCCUCAUGGCCCUUAUGGGUAGGGCUUCACACGUCAUACAAUGGUCGGUACAAAGGGUUGCCAAGCCGCGAGGCGGAGCCAAUCCCAGAAAGCCGAUCGUAGUCCGGAUUGCAAGCUGCAACUCGCCUGCAUGAAGUCGGAAUCGCUAGUAAUCGUGGAUCAGCAUGUCACGGUGAAUACGUUCCCGGGUCUUGUACACACCGCCCGUCACACCAUGGGAGCGGGUUCCGCCAGAAGUAGGUAGCCUAACCGCAAGGGGGGCGCUUACCACGGCGGGGUUCGUGACUGGGGUGAAGUCGUAACAAGGUAGCCGUAGGGGAACCUGCGGCUG